CCUACGGGAGGCAGCAGUGGGGGAUAUUGCACAAUGUGGGAAACCCUGAUGCAGCGACGCCGCGUGGGCGAAGAAGUAUUUCGGUAUGUAAAGCCCUAUCAGCAGGGAAGAAGAAAUGACGGUACCUGAGUAAGAAGCACCGGCUAAAUACGUGCCAGCAGCCGCGGUAAUACGUAUGGUGCAAGCGUUAUCCGGAUUUACUGGGUGUAAAGGGAGCGCAGGCCGCACGGCAAGCCUGAUGUGAAAGCCCGGGGCCCAACCGCGGGACUGCAUUGGGAACUACCGGGCUGGAGUGCCGGAGAGGUAGGCGGAAUUCCUAGUGUAGCGGUGAAAUGCGGAGAUAUUAGGAGGAACACCAGUGGCGAAGGCGGCCUACUGGACGGUGACUGACGCUGAGGCUCGAAAGCGUGGGGAGCAAACAGGAUUAGAUACCCGGGUAGUC
Molecule: ribosomal RNA, 442 nt
Filed under: uncultured bacterium
Lineage: Bacteria
Description: partial 16S ribosomal RNA
Rfam family: Bacterial small subunit ribosomal RNA
Source: RNAcentral